This 744-nucleotide ribosomal RNA is filed under the name uncultured bacterium. RNAcentral describes it as "bacterial SSU rRNA". It matches the Rfam family "Bacterial small subunit ribosomal RNA", at positions 33 to 773 of the family's 1533-position model. The record is from RNAcentral.
ACGCUGGCGGCAGGCCUAACACAUGCAAGUCGAGCGGUAGAGAGAAGCUUGCUUCUCUUGAGAGCGGCGGACGGGUGAGUAAUGCCUAGGAAUCUGCCUGGUAGUGGGGGAUAACGUCCGGAAACGGACGCUAAUACCGCAUACGUCCUACGGGAGAAAGCAGGGGACCUUCGGGCCUUGCGCUAUCAGAUGAGCCUAGGUCGGAUUAGCUAGUUGGUGGGGUAAUGGCUCACCAAGGCGACGAUCCGUAACUGGUCUGAGAGGAUGAUCAGUCACACUGGAACUGAGACACGGUCCAGACUCCUACGGGAGGCAGCAGUGGGGAAUAUUGGACAAUGGGCGAAAGCCUGAUCCAGCCAUGCCGCGUGUGUGAAGAAGGUCUUCGGAUUGUAAAGCACUUUAAGUUGGGAGGAAGGGCAGUAAAUUAAUACUUUGCUGUUUCGACGUUACCGACAGAAUAAGCACCGGCUAACUCUGUGCCAGCAGCCGCGGUAAUACAGAGGGUGCAAGCGUUAAUCGGAAUUACUGGGCGUAAAGCGCGCGUAGGUGGUUCGUUAAGUUGGAUGUGAAAUCCCCGGGCUCAACCUGGGAACUGCAUUCAAAACUGACGAGCUAGAGUAUGGUAGAGGGUGGUGGAAUUUCCUGUGUAGCGGUGAAAUGCGUAGAUAUAGGAAGGAACACCAGUGGCGAAGGCGACCACCUGGACUGAUACUGACACUGAGGUGCGAAAGCGUGGGAACAAAC